AUUUUAUCGAUUUGCAUUUGCGGCAUGUUUGUUGUUCAGUGUGUAAACAUUGGUAGAUUCAAAAAUAAACCAAGAAAGUUAUAAGCCAGCAUACUUAUCGGGGAUGUUUAUACUCAUGAGUUUCCCUUUUCAUCUUUUUUUCUUUUUAAAGAACCCGUCUUCAACCAGUUUUGUAACGACAUAAAUAAGAUUUGUUUCAAUUUGUGUAUUUUGAUUUGUAAUCGGGACACUUAUUUUUGUUACCGUCACCGCUAUGCAUGUAAAAUAAUUAUAUUCAGAAUCGCUGCUGUAGAUUGGAAACACUGUAUGUAGUGUGCCGGUAAAUAGUUUGAAACUUGAAACUCGCAUAUUGAUAAUGUAAAAUACAUGAAAUUAAAAAAAAUUGCCACUUCUAAAGUUUGAUCGUCGUUUCAAAAGUGAGGCAUUUGCCUCAUUUGCCUCCAUUACGCUACGGCCCUGCUA
Molecule: long non-coding RNA, 462 nt
Filed under: Mytilus galloprovincialis (Mediterranean mussel)
Lineage: Eukaryota; Metazoa; Mollusca; Bivalvia; Mytilida; Mytilidae
Source: RNAcentral